RNAcentral lists this ribosomal RNA (254 nucleotides) under uncultured bacterium. Its description in RNAcentral is "partial 16S ribosomal RNA". It matches the Rfam family "Bacterial small subunit ribosomal RNA", at positions 524 to 776 of the family's 1533-position model. The record is from RNAcentral.
UACGGAGGGGGCUAGCGUUAUCCGGAAUUAUUGGGCGUAAAGAGCUCGUAGGCGGUUUGUCGCGUCUGCCGUGAAAGUCCGGGGCUCAACUCCGGAUCUGCGGUGGGUACGGGCAGACUAGAGUGAUGUAGGGGAGACUGGAAUUCCUGGUGUAGCGGUGAAAUGCGCAGAUAUCAGGAGGAACACCGAUGGCGAAGGCAGGUCUCUGGGCAUUAACUGACGCUGAGGAGCGAAAGCAUGGGGGAGCGAACAGG